UUGUGGUUACUCUAUGGCCUGACUUUCCCUUUUGUACAUUAGGAGAGGGCCCUGUCCAGCUGUUUUCCGUGAAUCCAUCCAUCAGCAGCACAGGAAGGUGAAGAAGGUGAAUGGGGACUGCCUGAGAGGAGAAGGUGGCCAGCAGCGGAAAAUCAGAACAGGCGAGUGCUGGGUGCAGAGUAGGAGUGGGCAUCUGCGGCUCCCAGAAAGGACCAAGGUUACAACUUGCUGAUCCAAACCCAACUCAGCAGUGACUAAAAUCUGUUGCUGCAGAACAAUACUGGCAGAAGAACAAAUGGAUCCCAUGAAUAAAUUCAGGCUGAUAAUUAGAAGACAGUUUCUAACCAUCUGGAAUAGCAAGCAGCCUGCAGAAGGUUGUGGAACAGCCUUCAGAAGAAUAAUGGAAAGAGAUGAUCGAAAUUUUUUGAAGAUGAAACUUGAUAAGCUUCUGCAUGGGAUUGUUCAGGAUGAUUGUCUGCAACAACAGGGGGCUGAAAUUAAAAAAAGUUCAUGCUGUUGCAUUCAGUCCUUUGUGCAAUGGGAGGGAAUGCUAUGUCAGACCAUAAGGAUGAACAUCUGUGUUACGGAAUGAGGAUGAUGAAUGUAGAGGCCAAGAAUGGGAUGGACAUGGAUCACUUCUCCUUACUAAGCAGAGACAUUCACCACUACCGGUUAUCAGAACUGGGGCUCUGAAAUAGAUAGCCUACAAGCCUCAUUCACUAUGAAGCUCCUGUGUUCAUUCCUGCUCUUCAAAUAACUUUUUCUCUCUGGCUUUCUUUGCUCUUGAAGAAAUAGAUUUGAAGAAUUUUGAAAAAUCAACAUAUCGAUUUACAUUUUUGAAACCGUAGAUUGUAUUACCAAAUGACAUAGAGGAAUAUAGGUGAUUAUUCAGCUAUCUAAGUGCCGUUUGCAUGAAACUUUUCCUGAGAAAAGAAAUCCAAUCUAUUAAUAUUUCACCGUAUAUAGGAUUCAUUUCUUGCAUGGAAUAUAUUGAGUUGUUGGCGGUUUUUAGUGUGAACUUUUCUUCUGGUAAGUUUGCCAUGUAAAAUGGAGCAGUCCACCAUAAUCUUAGGACCAGUUCGGUUAGGUGCUAAACACUUACUGGUGUUGGCAGCAUCAACAUAUUGUAAAGUUGAAUCUUUUAUUUACAUAACAAGCUUGAUAUUUGAUUAAGUUUAUCAUUAGAUCACUAAAUGUACUUAAAAUAUUGUGGCUAAUAUUAAAAGUGUCAUAGAAAUUAAAACUUUUAAAUGCUACUGAA
Harpia harpyja (harpy eagle) is the source of this 1261-nucleotide long non-coding RNA. RefSeq lists it as uncharacterized. Lineage: Eukaryota; Metazoa; Chordata; Aves; Accipitriformes; Accipitridae. The transcript is spliced from 3 exons. The record is from RefSeq and is a predicted model, not a curated record.